AUUGAACGCUGGCGGCAUGCUUUACACAUGCAAGUCGAACGGCAGCGCGGGCUUCGGCCUGGCGGCGAGUGGCGAACGGGUGAGUAAUGCAUCGGAACGUGCCCAGUAGUGGGGGAUAGCCCGGCGAAAGCCGGAUUAAUACCGCAUACGACCUGAGGGUGAAAGCGGGGGACCGAAAAGCCUCGCGCUGUUGGAGCGGCCGAUGUCGGGUUAGCGAGUUGGUGGGGUGAAGGCUUACCAAGGCGACGAUCCGUAGCUGGUCUGAGAGGACGACCAGCCACACUGGGACUGAGACACGGCCCAGACUCCUACGGGAGGCAGCAGUGGGGAAUUUUGGACAAUGGGGGCAACCCUGAUCCAGCCAUGCCGCGUGCGGGAAGAAGGCCUUCGGGUUGUAAAACGCUUUUGUUCGGGAAGAAAUCCUCUGGGCUAAUACCCCGGGGGGAUGACGGUACCGGAAGAAUAAGCACCGGCUAACUACGUG
Molecule: ribosomal RNA, 484 nt
Filed under: uncultured bacterium
Lineage: Bacteria
Description: partial 16S ribosomal RNA
Rfam family: Bacterial small subunit ribosomal RNA
Source: RNAcentral